CCUACGGGUGGCAGCAGUGGGGAAUAUUGGACAAUGGGGGGAACCCUGAUCCAGCGACGCCGCGUGAGUGAAGAAGUAUUUCGGUUUGUAAAGCUCUAUUAGCAGGGAAGAAACAAAUGACGGUACCUGACUAAUAAGCCACGACUAACUACGUGCCAGCAGCCGCGGUAAUACGUAGGGGGCAAGCGUUAUCCGGAUUUACUGGGUGUAAAGGGAGCGUAGGCGGCAAUGCAAGUCUGAAGUGAAAGGGAGGGGCUCAACCCCCGGACUGCAUUUGAAACUGUAUUGCUUGAGUGCAGGAGAGGUAAGCGGAAUUCCUUGUGUAGCGGUGAAAUGCGUAGAUAUUAGGAGGAACACCAGUGGCGAAGGCGGAUUACUGGACUGUAACUGACGUUGAGGCUCGAAAGCGUGGGGAGCAAACAGGAUUAGAUACCCGAGUAGUA
This 443-nucleotide ribosomal RNA is filed under the name uncultured bacterium. Its description in RNAcentral is "partial 16S ribosomal RNA". It matches the Rfam family "Bacterial small subunit ribosomal RNA", at positions 338 to 795 of the family's 1533-position model. The record is from RNAcentral.